GAUGAACGCUGGCGGCGUGCCUAAUACAUGCAAGUCGAGCGAACAGACGAGGAGCUUGCUCCUCUGACGUUAGCGGCGGACGGGUGAGUAACACGUGGAUAACCUACCUAUAAGACUGGGAUAACUUCGGGAAACCGGAGCUAAUACCGGAUAAUAUAUUGAACCGCAUGGUUCAAUAGUGAAAGACGGUUUUGCUGUCACUUAUAGAUGGAUCCGCACCGCAUUAGCUAGUUGGUAAGGUAACGGCUUACCAAGGCAACGAUGCGUAGCCGACCUGAGAGCGUGAUCGGCCACACUGGAACUGAGACACGGUCCAGACUCCUACGGGAGGCAGCAGUAGGGAAUCUUCCGCAAUGGGCGAGAGCUUGACGGAGCAACGCCGCGUGAGUGAUGAAGGUCUUCGGAUCGUAAAACUCUGUUAGUAGGGAAGAACAAAUGUGUAAGUAACUAUGCACGUCUUGACGGUACCUAAUCAGAAAGCCACGGCUAACUACGUG
RNAcentral lists this ribosomal RNA (497 nucleotides) under uncultured bacterium. RNAcentral describes it as "partial 16S ribosomal RNA". It matches the Rfam family "Bacterial small subunit ribosomal RNA", at positions 28 to 507 of the family's 1533-position model. The record is from RNAcentral.